Oryctolagus cuniculus (rabbit) is the source of this 842-nucleotide non-coding RNA. The record is from RefSeq and is a predicted model, not a curated record. NCBI's taxonomy places the organism in Eukaryota, Metazoa, Chordata, Mammalia, Lagomorpha, Leporidae.
GGGAAUGAGGAAAAUAACAUGGAGGUGAUAACAAAGACCAGUGUGGACUGUGUGUGCAGGGGGAAGCGGAGUGCAGGGGGCUGAGGACAGAGUGUUGUUUGUCUCUGAAACUCAGAGCACCAGGAGUUGAGUCUGUUCUCAAGAAGUGGGAAGAAGGGGCCAAUGCUUCUGCUAAUGCCCCCCAGAGGACUGUUUCCACUGGACUUUCUGUAAAACUCUGGGCCCUUUAUGACAACAUGAACUCAUGUUCUGAAGGAGGAGGGGAGGUCAUUUGUGCCUGCGGGGGGCGCAGUUUGGAUUUAGCCCCUCUACAACAUCGGCAUGCUCAGUGGCCCCACAAUAUCGGAAGUAGUCAGCACAUGUGGGAGAAGUGGCCAGUGGCCAGUUUCCGGUUGGGAGCCUGGAGUGAACCAGAGGCCCGGCAGAAGUGGAUUAUCACCAAAGGGUCCAGGGAACCACUCCACCCAGAUUGCUUUUAUAGAACCAGGUGAUAACACAUUUCAAAGUGCUGGUUUGAGAGACUAGUUGACCUGAGUAUUCAGACUGGACAUCAACAAUGCCAUUCCUUGUCCUUAUAAUUUUUCUUCAAUAGUAGUGGGGAACUAUCUUGAGAAAAAAAAUCUCUAACCUACAUUUUUAUAACAUUGUUUGUGUUGUUUAUAAAAAACGGACCAUGUUUCCCAUGCUGAAGUAGCUGUCAUUGAUCUUACAAGAGGGUGAUUUAAAAAUCCAACAAGAACUUAAAGGAAGUUUCAUUUAAAGUAUCUAGUAAAAUGAGAGUUUGUUCUAUGCAAACAAUGAAGAAACUUUGGAAGAUAAUGCUGUUGACUUCCCAGACUCUG